This 445-nucleotide ribosomal RNA is filed under the name uncultured bacterium. RNAcentral describes it as "partial 16S ribosomal RNA". It matches the Rfam family "Bacterial small subunit ribosomal RNA", at positions 354 to 796 of the family's 1533-position model. The record is from RNAcentral.
GUGAGGAAUAUUGCGCAAUGGAGGCAACUCUGACGCAGCCAUGCCGCGUGCAGGAAGAAGGCGCUACGCGUUGUAAACUGCUUUUAACCGGGAAGAAACCCCAGGACGUGUCCUGGGUUGACGGUACCGGAGGAAUAAGCACCGGCUAACUUCGUGCCAGCAGCCGCGGUAAUACGAAGGGUGCAAGCGUUAUCCGGAUUCAUUGGGUUUAAAGGGUGCGUUGGCGGAGCGUUACGUCAGUGGUGACAUCCUUCAGCUUAACUGUAGACUUGCCAUUGAUACUGGCGCUCUUGAGUGCGCUUGAAGUGGGCGGAAUGUGCCGUGUAGCGGUGAAAUGCUUAGAUAUGGCACAGAACACCAAUUGCGAAGGCAGCUCACUAAGGCGAUACUGACGCUGAGGCACGAAAGCGUGGGGAUCGAACAGGAUUAGAAACCCGGGUAGUCC